AUUGAACGCUGGCGGCAGGCCUAACACAUGCAAGUCGAACGAGUGGCGGACGGGUGAGUAAUGUCUGGGCAACUGCCCGAUGGAGGGGGAUAACUACUGGAAACGGUAGCUAAUACCGCAUACCCUCGGAUGUGCCCAGAUGGGAUUCGCUAGUAGGUGGGGUAACGGCUCACAUAGGCGACGAUCCCUAGCUGGUCUGAGAGGAUGACCAGCCACACGGGAAUGGAGAAAGGGUCAAGACGCCUACGGGAGGCAGCAGUGGGGAAUAUGGCACAAUGGGGGCAAGCCUGAGGCAGCCAUGCCGGGUGUAUGAAGAAGUCCUUCGGGUUUUAAAGUACGUUCAGCGAGGAGGCGGUACUCGCAGAAGAAGCACCGGCUAACUCCGUGCCAGCAGCCGCGGUAAUAC
Molecule: ribosomal RNA, 406 nt
Filed under: uncultured bacterium
Lineage: Bacteria
Description: partial 16S ribosomal RNA
Rfam family: Bacterial small subunit ribosomal RNA
Source: RNAcentral